RNAcentral lists this ribosomal RNA (274 nucleotides) under uncultured bacterium. Its description in RNAcentral is "partial 16S ribosomal RNA". It matches the Rfam family "Bacterial small subunit ribosomal RNA", at positions 523 to 796 of the family's 1533-position model. The record is from RNAcentral.
ACACGGGGGGCGCAAGCGUUAUUCGGAAUUAUUGGGCGUAAAGGGCGUGUAGGCGGUUUUAUCGGUCAGAUGUGAAAGCCCAGGGCUCAACCCUGGACGUGCAUUUGAAACAGUAAGACUUGAGUACGGUAGAGGAAAGCGGAAUUCCUGGUGUAGAGGCGAAAUUCGUAGAUAUCAGGAGGAACACCGAUGGCGAAGGCAGCUUUCUGGACCGAAACUGACGCUGAUGCGCGAAGGCGUGGGUAGCGAACAGGAUUAGAAACCCCGGUAGUCC